Molecule: ribosomal RNA, 460 nt
Filed under: uncultured bacterium
Lineage: Bacteria
Description: partial 16S ribosomal RNA
Rfam family: Bacterial small subunit ribosomal RNA
Source: RNAcentral
CCUACGGGAGGCAGCAGUGAGGAAUAUUGGUCAAUGGACGGAAGUCUGAACCAGCCAUGCCGCGUGCAGGAAGACGGCUCUAUGAGUUGUAAACUGCUUUUGUACAAGGGUAAACCUGAAUACGUGUAUUCAGCUGAAAGUACUGUACGAAUAAGGAUCGGCUAACUCCGUGCCAGCAGCCGCGGUAAUACGGAGGAUCCAAGCGUUAUCCGGAUUUAUUGGGUUUAAAGGGUGCGUAGGCGGAUUGAUAAGUUAGAGGUGAAAUGUCCGGGCUUAACUCGGGAACUGCCUCUAAUACUGUUGAUCUAGAGAGUAGAUGCGGUAGGCGGAAUGUAUGGUGUAGCGGUGAAAUGCUUAGAGAUCAUACAGAACACCGAUUGCGAAGGCAGCUUACCAAGCUAUAUCUGACGUUGAGGCACGAAAGCGUGGGGAGUAAACAGGAUUAGAUACCCGAGUAGUC